Molecule: long non-coding RNA, 325 nt
Filed under: Malus domestica (apple)
Lineage: Eukaryota; Viridiplantae; Streptophyta; Magnoliopsida; Rosales; Rosaceae
Description: long non-coding RNA (MDOM_LNC007689)
Source: RNAcentral
AGUAAACAAGUUGAAGGCUGAACGUCAGGUCGAGAUACUUGACUGGAACCAACCCAUGCCUGGCCCUCUCAGAAGGAGGAUCAUUGACACCCCCUUCAAGCGAAGACAAAACAAAAGCUUGGUUUACAACUUUAUACUAGAAAGGAGGACCCAAUUGAACACUUUAACCUCUUUGAGUCCACCAUGGCAUAUCGGAUGCACACCAAUGAAAAGCGAUGUCUUCUCUUCCUCUCCACCCUCUCUGGCGGAGGUCUAAACUGGUAUUGCCAUCUUCCACCUGAGACAGUUGACUCAUUUGAGGAACUGAGGAAACUGUUUGUCUCUC